CUGACUGUGGACAUCUUCAAAGGUAUCCCUGGGAUGCUGGGACUGUUUGUGGCAGCUCUUUGUAGUGCCUCACUCAGCACUAUUUCCUCUGGGCUGUCCAGUCUGGCGGCCACAGCCUGGGAAGACAUCCUCAAGCAUCACCUGCCAAACCAUUCCGACUUCAAGGCAACACUUGUAGCUAAAGUAGCAGUGAUCAUCUACGGAAUGUUCACCUUUGGCAUAGCGAUUCUCAUAUCAUUGGUUGGUGGAACAUUGUUG
Molecule: long non-coding RNA, 258 nt
Organism: Haliotis rufescens (red abalone)
Lineage: Eukaryota; Metazoa; Mollusca; Gastropoda; Lepetellida; Haliotidae
Exons: 3
Source: RefSeq, a predicted model, not a curated record